CUACGGAACUCCUACGGGAGGCAGCAGUGGGGAAUAUUGCACAAUGGGCGGAAGCCCGAUGCAGUGACGCCGCGUGGGGGAUGACGGUCUUCGGAUUGUAAACCCCUUUCAGUAGGGACGAAGCGCAAGUGACGGUACCUGCAGAAGAAGCACCGGCUAACUACGUGCCAGCAGCCGCGGUAAUACGUAGGGUGCGAGCGUUGUCCGGAAUUACUGGGCGUAAGGAGCUCGUAGGCGGUUCGUCACGUCGUCUGUGAAAUCCCUCGGCUUAACCGGGGGCGUGCAGGCGAUACGGGCAGACUUGAGUACUACAGGGGAGACUGGAAUUCCUGGUGUAGCGGUGAAAUGCGCAGAUAUCAGGAGGAACACCGGUGGCGAAGGCGGGUCUCUGAGUAGUAACUGACGCUGAGGAGCGAAAGCAUGGGUAGCGAACAGGAUUAGAAACCCGAGUAGUCCUCUUCGA
This 463-nucleotide ribosomal RNA is filed under the name uncultured bacterium. Its description in RNAcentral is "bacterial SSU rRNA". It matches the Rfam family "Bacterial small subunit ribosomal RNA", at positions 328 to 803 of the family's 1533-position model. The record is from RNAcentral.